Molecule: ribosomal RNA, 253 nt
Filed under: uncultured bacterium
Lineage: Bacteria
Description: partial 16S ribosomal RNA
Rfam family: Bacterial small subunit ribosomal RNA
Source: RNAcentral
UACGUAGGGUGCGAGCGUUAAUCGGAAUUACUGGGCGUAAAGAGUGCGUAGGCGGUUUGUGAAGUCAGAUGUGAAAGCCCCGGGCUUAACCUGGGAAGUGCGUCUGAAACUGGCAGGCUAGAGUUUGGUAGAGGGGGGUAGAAUUCCUGGUGUAGCAGUGAAAUGCGUAGAGAUCAGGAGGAACACCGAUGGCGAAGGCAGCCCCCUGGGCUAAAACUGACGCUCAGGCACGAAAGCAUGGGGAGCAAACAGG